RNAcentral lists this transfer RNA (77 nucleotides) under Terasakiispira papahanaumokuakeensis. Its description in RNAcentral is "tRNA-Pro". It matches the Rfam family "tRNA". Rfam says of the family: Transfer RNA (tRNA) molecules are approximately 80 nucleotides in length. Their secondary structure includes four short double-helical elements and three loops (D, anti-codon, and T loops). The record is from RNAcentral. Lineage: Bacteria; Pseudomonadati; Pseudomonadota; Gammaproteobacteria; Oceanospirillales.
CGGAGCGUGGCGCAGUUUGGUAGCGCACUUGCAUGGGGUGCAAGGGGUCGCAGGUUCGAAUCCUGUCGCUCCGACCA